Long non-coding RNA from Dermochelys coriacea (leatherback sea turtle), 144 nucleotides. RefSeq lists it as uncharacterized. The transcript has 3 exons. The record is from RefSeq and is a predicted model, not a curated record. NCBI's taxonomy places the organism in Eukaryota, Metazoa, Chordata, Testudines, Dermochelyidae.
ACUUGAUUUCCAGGUGGAUCAUGCCCUGCAGAGCCUCAGGGGCAGGGCUUCUUCUGCUAGGAGGGAAGGAUUAACUCCCACCAUACCAGUGCAGGGCCAAUCUGUCCCAUCACAGGACCAUAUAAUGCUUAAGCACGUUAGCAG